UGUCCCCGCCUCCGGCUCACAACCCCUGUCCACAGGUGCAUAUGCGACUUUACCAAGGCGUUCUCAGCGCCCCUACCCCCGCCUCCGCGUGGACCCUCGUUUGUUGUAUGCAGCAGCCUACAGGCGCAGCGCCCCAGUUUCAAACCGUAGCAGCUCCAGCGAAAUAGAGAGAGGGAGACGCACAGAGUAGCAGAACAUGAAGCGGUUUUUCUCUUCGCUCUACGAGGGCACAGGUAUCAUCAAGGACCCGGGGCAGCGCAGCAUCGCCAGCCGCGUCACUGCUUUGGCUGUGGAGGGGGUGGCUGUCUUCACAGUGCUAGGCACGCUCGGCGUCGACACCUCGCCCCUUAUCGCUGCCGCGGGCGUCACCGGCGCGACGAUCGGUUUUGCGUGCAAAGACUUCGGCGCGAACUUCGUCGCUAGCAUCGCCCUUUCCGGUCAGCGAGCGCUGCGCACGGGCAACAAGGUCUCGAUCGGCGUUGGCCCCAACAUCGUCUCCGGCACCGUUGUAGACUGGGACACGCGCUACAUCUACCUCCGAAACGAGGAAAGGGCCGUAGUGUGCGUACCGAACAAUGUGGUGCUCAACUCUGUCGUCAUGUGGAAGGACCCGGAUACGAGCUCUCCGCUGACAGCGGAGGGUGCGGCUCAGGCAAACGACACCAAGGAUUGGAAUGCAGCCGCCAGCGCAGCUGAGCCGCCCAAGAAGUAGCGCGGUAACCGACUCGGCUUUCACAACCCCCAUUCUCUGUUUCUCUCUCUUUUUUCCGCCACCCCGCUCUGGCAGUGCGCGUGGUGAGGCACGGAUCCACACCCCCAGCAAGAUGUACGACAUCGUCUAUGCACUGCCUCCUCCUCUCUGGUAUUAUCCAUUGCACAGAUGAGAAACUCUCUGCCAGGACCACCAGCAACCCUCACGACGUGCUUAGCGUAGGGGAUACCAGCGCCUCGACCUAUCUUUGUGCCGUGUCCAUCUCAUUUAUUCUGGCCUUUCCCACACCCCUCGCCGUUUUGCGCCUCUUCUCUGCAUCUGCGUUCUGCACGCAUCGACGCGCCCGAUCGCUAAGAGAUACUGUGAAUUAGUGUGACGCUGCCCUCUUCCGUUCGCCGUCGCCUCUCGUUUUCCGUGGCAGAGUCAUGGCGGUGGCUCACUAAGACACAUGCCGUCACAGGAAGGUUGUCGGCUGUAAGCGAGAGACGCGAAAAGAAAACGCCCUCUUCUCUCCACGUUCUGCGGAACCGCUACCCCACCCUCCUGGCCAUGUUUGCAUCCACCAACGCACCUCCCUCACGCAAGUUAGCGCGUGACGCGUGCUCUCGACCUUCCUCCUCUUCUCUCUCCUCUCUGCCCCUGCCGUGCUCUGCUCAUCUCCUUCGUGCAUCGGACGGUUGGUUCUCUAG
This 1401-nucleotide unclassified non-coding RNA is filed under the name Leishmania donovani. RNAcentral's name for it is "gene:LdHU3.36.7940(CDS-product:Mechanosensitive_i on_channel_putative)". The record is from RNAcentral. Lineage: Eukaryota; Euglenozoa; Kinetoplastea; Trypanosomatida; Trypanosomatidae.